Diorhabda carinulata is the source of this 489-nucleotide long non-coding RNA. RefSeq lists it as uncharacterized. The transcript has 3 exons. The record is from RefSeq and is a predicted model, not a curated record. Lineage: Eukaryota; Metazoa; Arthropoda; Insecta; Coleoptera; Chrysomelidae.
GUUUGAUCUUCUAUCCGAUGUCCAGUCAAGGAUUGUCUGGCAAACCCAGGCCGGUUUUAUGAGAAACAUAAAAAGAAAUUUGAAUAGUUAUCCAAAAAUAUCAGCUCUUUGUGGUUAAAAAAUUUCCUGACUACGCAGUUGUUGGAGAUCUUUCCGAUAACUUUUGGUUUCCACCACAAGCACUACUUCAACAAAACGUUCGAACACCAGAAAAAAUUUAAGGACACCUGAAGUUAUUAGACUUAGCAGAUAAUGCAGCCUGCUGAUUGUGAUGUGUGAAGUGUGAUGCACUAUGUAACUCCAGAGUACUACACCCGGAAGCGUAUCAAAUAGAAGACGAAGAUCUCUGGCAGCUACAUCUCAUAUUUUGCACUUUCCAAGAGAAGGAAAAUUAAUAGAUUAGCGGUAAGCACUGAGGAUCCGCAGUAUCGCAGAAAUAAAGGGGUGACACGAUUGGUACAACUCCAUUGAACAGGUUCGAAAAAUAAU